UCUGGGAGGACUCACACUCCACUUGAACAUGAGAUGUUUUCAAAUUCCAGCAUGCUCUUGUAUCUCCAGUGUCCAGCCAGUGCUGUCAACCCCGGUUCAUCGUUGUCAUUUCUGGAGAAGUUCUGCCAAGAUAUUUCAGCUCAGGAUGGGUAUUUGCUCAGUUUCAUGAACCAGAAGUCGCCCAGUUCUUUGCAACAUUUGGCGCUAACCUCACAAUUGCAUGGAUGGAAGACAAUAGGAGCUCGGUAAAGCUUCCAUGAAGCGGAGAGAGCUUGAAUGGUCUGAAGUAAAAAGCAGUCUUGCUCAGUAAUUAACGGCUUCACAGAUCCCAUGUUCUUUGGAUGUGAGUGACAAUGGACGAUUGGAGAAAAAGACAAGCAUCUGGGCGGAGCAGCGAGGGCAAUUAGCGUCACCUCUGCUGUACUAUAAUUAUCACCUCCGCAGACGCCCUGGAGUCAUAAAUACGACGAGAGAAGGAGGAGAACACGAAAGGGGUUACGGUGUUGGAAGGUCAAGCUAAAUUUAGUUGUUACCUAUCACUAUCAGUGUCCACCACCGAUGCAAUGGCCAAUCGAAUCUCAAGUUCAUUUUAAGGAAAUGGUCUCAGUCAUAAGACUGUUAUGAACAAUCGAUUUCAAAAUAUCAACAUAAACUUAGGAUAAUAAAUUUCUCUCGAAUGCAUUAUUUUUUAAUCAAAAUUUGAUCCUUUUCAAA
Brassica napus (rape) is the source of this 714-nucleotide long non-coding RNA. RefSeq lists it as uncharacterized. NCBI's taxonomy places the organism in Eukaryota, Viridiplantae, Streptophyta, Magnoliopsida, Brassicales, Brassicaceae. The transcript has 3 exons. The record is from RefSeq and is a predicted model, not a curated record.